CCAAUAGCGUAUAUUAAAGUUGUUGCAGUUAAAAAGCUCGUAGUUGAACUUCGGGAUUUGCCCAUUGGUCAGGCUUAACUGUCUGUACUGGUGAGAUGAAUUCCUACCUUCUGAGGAAUCUUUAUGCCAUUAAUUUGGUGUGAGGGGGAAUCAGGACUGUUACUUUGAAAAAAUUAGAGUGUUUAAAGCAGGCUAACGUCUGAAUACAUUAGCAUGGAAUAAUAAAAUAGGACGGUUGGUUCUAUUUUGUUGGUUUCUAGGAUCACCGUAAUGAUUAAUAGGGAUAGUUGGGGGCAUUAGUAUUCAAUUGUCAGAGGUGAAAUUCUUGGAUUUAUUGAAGACUAACUACUGCGAAAGCAUUUGCCAAGGAUGUUUUCAUUAAUCAAGAACGAAAGUUAGGGGAUCGAAGACGAUCAGAUACCGUCGUAGUCUUAACCAUAAACUAUGCCGACUAGGGAUCGGACGAAGUUAAUUUUUAAAUGACUCGUUCGGCACCUUAC
This 500-nucleotide ribosomal RNA is filed under the name uncultured Glomeromycotina. RNAcentral's name for it is "partial small subunit ribosomal RNA". It matches the Rfam family "Eukaryotic small subunit ribosomal RNA", at positions 591 to 1091 of the family's 1831-position model. Lineage: Eukaryota; Fungi; Glomeromycota. The record is from RNAcentral.